Molecule: ribosomal RNA, 441 nt
Filed under: uncultured bacterium
Lineage: Bacteria
Description: partial 16S ribosomal RNA
Rfam family: Bacterial small subunit ribosomal RNA
Source: RNAcentral
CCUACGGGAGGCAGCAGUGGGGAAUAUUGCACAAUGGGGGAAACCCUGAUGCAGCAACGCCGCGUGAGUGAAGAAGUAUUUCGGUAUGUAAAGCUCUAUCAGCAGGGAAGAAGAAAGACGGUACCUGACUAAUAAGCCCCGGCGAACUACGUGCCAGCAGCCGCGGUAAUACGUAGGGGGCAAGCGUUAUCCGGAUUGACUGGGUGUAAAGGUAGCGUAGACGGCUGUGCAAGUCUGAAGUGAAAGCCCGGGGCUCAACCGCGGAACUGCUUUGGAAACUGUAUAGCUGGAGUACUGGAGAGGCAGGCGGAAUUCCUGGUGUAGCGGUGAAAUGCGUAGAUAUUAGGAGGAACACCAGUGGCGAAGGCGGCCUGCUGGACAGAAACUGACGUUGAGGCUCGAAAGCGUGGGGAGCAAACAGGAUUAGAUACCCUAGUAGUC